AAUUUUGGACAAUGGGGGCAACCCUGAUCCAGCCAUGCCGCGUGAGUGAAGAAGGCCUUAGGGUUGUAAAACUCUUUCGCCGAGGACGAUAAUGACGGUACUCGGAGAAGAAGCUCCGGCUAACUUCGUGCCAGCAGCCGCGGUAAUACGAAGGGGGCUAGCGUUGUUCGGAUUUACUGGGCGUAAAGCGCGUGUAGGCGGGUCGUUAAGUUGGGGGUGAAAUCCCGAGGCUCAACCUCGGAACUGCCUUCAAAACUGGCGACCUGGAGCGAGAUAGAGGCAAGUGGAAUUCCGAGUGUAGAGGUGAAAUUCGUAGAUAUUCGGAGGAACACCAGUGGCGAAGGCGACUUGCUGGAUCUCUGCUGACGCUGAGACGCGAAAGCGUGGGGAGCAAAC
This 396-nucleotide ribosomal RNA is filed under the name uncultured bacterium. RNAcentral's name for it is "bacterial SSU rRNA". It matches the Rfam family "Bacterial small subunit ribosomal RNA", at positions 360 to 773 of the family's 1533-position model. The record is from RNAcentral.